This 429-nucleotide ribosomal RNA is filed under the name Gemmatimonadota bacterium. RNAcentral describes it as "Gemmatimonadetes bacterium partial 16S ribosomal RNA". It matches the Rfam family "Bacterial small subunit ribosomal RNA", at positions 355 to 776 of the family's 1533-position model. Lineage: Bacteria; Pseudomonadati; Gemmatimonadota. The record is from RNAcentral.
UAGGGAAUCUUCGGCAAUGGACGAAAGUCUGACCGAGCAACGCCGCGUGAGUGAAGAAGGUUUUCGGAUCGUAAAACUCUGUUGUUAGAGAAGAACAAGGACGUUAGUAACUGAACGUCCCCUGACGGUAUCUAACCAGAAAGCCACGGCUAACUACGUGCCAGCAGCCGCGGUAAUACGUAGGUGGCAAGCGUUGUCCGGAUUUAUUGGGCGUAAAGCGAGCGCAGGCGGUUUCUUAAGUCUGAUGUGAAAGUCCCCGGCUCAACCGGGGAGGGUCAUUGGAAACGGGGAGACUUGAGUGCAGAAGAGGAGAGUGGAAUUCCGUGUGUAGCGGUGAAAUGCGUAGAUAUAUGGAGGAACACCAGUGGCGAAGGCGGCUCUCUGGUCUGUAACUGACGCUGAGGCUCGAAAGCGUGGGGAGCAAACAGG